AACCCUAGACAAGGGAUCACUUGGCUCAUGGCUCGAUGAAGACCGCAGCAAACUGCGCGACGCCAUGUGAACUGCAGGACACAUGAUCAUUGACACAUUGAACGCAUAUUGCGCUACCACUUUUAAAGAUGUUGGGGGCCGUUAUUUUUAAAAAAUA
RNAcentral lists this ribosomal RNA (157 nucleotides) under Belgica antarctica. RNAcentral describes it as "5.8S ribosomal RNA". It matches the Rfam family "5.8S ribosomal RNA". Rfam says of the family: 5.8S ribosomal RNA (5.8S rRNA) is a component of the large subunit of the eukaryotic ribosome. It is transcribed by RNA polymerase I as part of the 45S precursor that also contains 18S and 28S rRNA. The record is from RNAcentral. Lineage: Eukaryota; Metazoa; Arthropoda; Insecta; Diptera; Chironomidae.